Molecule: non-coding RNA, 118 nt
Organism: Triticum aestivum (bread wheat)
Lineage: Eukaryota; Viridiplantae; Streptophyta; Magnoliopsida; Poales; Poaceae
Source: Rfam
CUAGUACUCCCUCCGUUCAGAAUUACUUGUUUUGGAUUUGUCUAGAUACGGAUGUAUCUAGAAACAUCCGUAUCUAGAUAAAUCCAAGACAAGUAAUUCGGAACAGAGAGAGUAGUUG